AUUGAACGCUGGCGGCCGGCCUAACACAUGCAAGUCGAACGAGUGGCGGACGGGUGAGUAAUGUCUGGGAAACUGCCUGAUGGAGGGGGAUAACUACUGGAAACGGUAGCUCAUACCGCAUACCCUCAGAUGUGCCCAGAUGGGAUUAGCUAGUAGGUGGGGUAACGGCUCACCUAGGCGACGAUCCCUAGCUGGUCUUAGAGGAGGACCCGCCAAACUGGAACUGAGACACGGUCCAGAUUCCUACGGGAGGCAGCAGUGGGGAAUAUUGCACAAUGGGCGCAAGCCUGAUGCAGCCAUGCCGCGUGUAUGAAGAAGACCUUCGGGUUGUAAAGUACUUUCAGCGGGGAGGCGUUACCCGCAGAAGAAGCACCGGCUAACUCCGUGCCAGCAGCCGCGGUAAUAC
Molecule: ribosomal RNA, 406 nt
Filed under: uncultured bacterium
Lineage: Bacteria
Description: partial 16S ribosomal RNA
Rfam family: Bacterial small subunit ribosomal RNA
Source: RNAcentral